Molecule: ribosomal RNA, 492 nt
Filed under: uncultured bacterium
Lineage: Bacteria
Description: partial 16S ribosomal RNA
Rfam family: Bacterial small subunit ribosomal RNA
Source: RNAcentral
AGUGAACGCUGGCGGCAUGCCUAACACAUGCAAGUCGAACGGCAGCACAGUAAUAGCUUGCUCUUACGGGUGGCGAGUGGCGGACGGGUGAGGAAUACAUCGGAAUCUACUUUUUCGUGGGGGAUAACGUAGGGAAACUUACGCUAAUACCGCAUACGACCUACGGGUGAAAGCAUGGGAUCUUCGGACCUUGCGCGAUUGAAUGAGCCGAUGUCGGAUUAGCUAGUUGGCGGGGUAAAGGCCCACCAAGGCGACGAUCCGUAGCUGGUCUGAGAGGAUGAUAAGCCACACUGGAACUGAGACACGGUCCAGACUCCUACGGGAGGCAGCAGUGGGGAAUAUUGGACAAUGGGCGCAAGCCUGAUCCAGCCAUACCGCGUGGGUGAAGAAGGCCUUCGGGUUGUAAAGCCCUUUUGUUGGGAAAGAAAAGCAGCAGGUUAAUACCACGCUGUUCUGACGGUACCCAAAGAAUAAGCACCGGCUAACUUCGUG